RNAcentral lists this transfer RNA (75 nucleotides) under Marivirga lumbricoides. Its description in RNAcentral is "tRNA-Asn". It matches the Rfam family "tRNA". Rfam says of the family: Transfer RNA (tRNA) molecules are approximately 80 nucleotides in length. Their secondary structure includes four short double-helical elements and three loops (D, anti-codon, and T loops). Lineage: Bacteria; Pseudomonadati; Bacteroidota; Cytophagia; Cytophagales; Marivirgaceae. The record is from RNAcentral.
UCCUCCUUAGCUCAGCUGGUUAGAGCAUCUGACUGUUAAUCAGAGGGUCCUUGGUUCGAGCCCAAGAGGAGGAGC